GGUUUUCUGUUUUCCCUUAUUUUGGAUUUUUCAUCCAGCCCUGGGCUGUGCUAUAUCAAGAGUGACACUCUUUCCAUAGAUCUACAAGUGUCAGGAGAUGACUGCACACCUCUUGGAGAAAAUGGACAAUUAUUAAUCAGCACAUGUACAGUGAUUACCGAGAACAGCAAAAUUAAACCAGAUGCAGAGUAAUUUAGAUGAAAAUCCCAAUCAGUACAUUUUAAAUAAAGA
This is a long non-coding RNA of Rhea pennata, 231 nucleotides long. RefSeq lists it as uncharacterized. The record is from RefSeq and is a predicted model, not a curated record. The transcript has 3 exons. NCBI's taxonomy places the organism in Eukaryota, Metazoa, Chordata, Aves, Rheiformes, Rheidae.